CAGGGAGACAAAACUGAUUGUGAUGUCUGAUUAAAAAAUAUUUAGACCACGAUCCUGUCACCUUAGGUCGAUCGGUACCUCAGCUUGAAGUCUAAAGAUAUGAGAAAUCAUUAUUUUAGGAGUUCAUUUUCAGUUCCUAAACUUGUCUAGGUCACACCCAACAUUCAUUCUUCUGGGCUAUUAGCUCAGGUGGUUAGAGCGCACCCCUGAUAAGGGUGAGGUCCCUGGUUCAAGUCCAGGAUGGCCCAUUCGGUGUUGGGGGUUUAGCUCAGUUGGUAGAGCGCCUGCUUUGCAAGCAGGAUGUCAGGAGUUCGAGUCUCCUAACCUCCACUGAUCGAACUUAAUCUCCAUCUUCUGAUUGAUUGGAAGGUGAACUCGAGUGUGAGAGGUGUGAUUUAGAUGUGUCCGCUGGCAUGACCCCAGCUUCCUGUCAUUCCAAGAUUGAGUGAGCAAUCACGUUGAUUUUGGUUGAUAAGAUGCUGGGCUCGAACUGAGCGAUCAGUUUGAUGUCUAGCAGAACCUUGACAACUGCAUAGGUGAGUCUGGAAAGAAUAAAGCAUCUCUCAUGGAUGCAUCAUUUCUUUUUGGAAUGAUGUUAAUUCUUGAGCAAGAGCCGAGACUCCAUCACGUUCUUUUCAUUGCGUCGAGCAAUGAAGAGUUUGAUCAUUGAUUCAGCAAUGAAUCAGUGAGAAUCUGUUUCAACGACAGCAAGCGUGUUGGAGAUUAUAU
This 729-nucleotide transfer RNA is filed under the name uncultured cyanobacterium. Its description in RNAcentral is "partial 16S-23S ribosomal RNA intergenic spacer". The stretch from base 258 to 330 matches the Rfam family "tRNA". The record is from RNAcentral. Lineage: Bacteria; Bacillati; Cyanobacteriota.